RNAcentral lists this ribosomal RNA (1308 nucleotides) under Theretra alecto. RNAcentral's name for it is "16S ribosomal RNA". Lineage: Eukaryota; Metazoa; Arthropoda; Insecta; Lepidoptera; Sphingidae. The record is from RNAcentral.
AGAAAUUUUAAUUUUAAAAAUAUUUAAUGGGGGUUAAAGUAUUUUUAAUUGAAAAAAUUUGAAAUUUUAUAGUAAAUUAGUAUUGUGAAAGAAUUUUGAAAUAAUUUAAAUAAUAAUUAAAUUAAAAGUAAAUUUUAUUUAUUGUAUCUUGUGUAUCAGAGUUUAUUAAAAAUUUUUUAUUUAUUAAAUUUCUCGAAUUUAAAAGAGUUAAUUAAUUAAAAAAGUUAUUGUUUCAUAAAUAUUUUAAAUAAUUAAUUAGAAUUGAAAUGUUAUUCGUUUUUAAAUAUAUCUAGUUAUUUUAGAAAAAAAUUUAAUUUUUAAUUUAAAUUUAAAAUUAAUUAAUUAAUUAAUUAAUUUUAAAUUUAAAUUUAAUAUUUUAAGGGAUAAGCUUUAAUUUAAAUUUUUAUAAUAAUUAUUUAAAUAUUUGAAAAUUUUAUAAUUUAUAUUGUUAAUAAAUUUUAAUUUAUUAUAAAUAAUUUCAUAAAAUUAAAAAUUUAAUUAAAAAUUUAAAUUUUUAUAAAAAGAUUUUUUUUAAUUAUAUAAAAUUAGUCAUAAUGAUAAAAUUAGUAUAUUAUAUAUAUAUAAGUGUAAUUAAAAUUAUUAUUUAAAGAAAGUUAUUUUAAAGGAAUUCGACAAAAAAUUAUAUUCACCUGUUUAUCAAAAACAUGUCUUUUUGAUUAAUAAUUUAAAGUCUAAUCUGCCCACUGAUUUUAUAUUAAAGGGCUGCAGUAUAUUGACUGUACAAAGGUAGCAUAAUCAUUAGUCUCUUAAUUGGUGACUUGUAUGAAAGAUUGGAUGAAAUAUAGAUUGUCUCUAAAAUAUUAUUAGAAAUUAAUUUUUUAAUUAAAAAGUUAAAAUGAGUUAAAAAGACGAGAAGACCCUAUAGAGUUUUAUAUUUAUUAAUUUUUAAAUUUUUAAUUGUUUUGAGUUUAUUUUAAAAUUUAUUUAAUUAUUUUAUUGGGGUGAUAAAAAAAUAAAUAAAACUUUUUUUUAUAUAAAACAUAAAUAAGUGAUUAAUUGAUCCAAUAUUUUUGAUUAUAAGAAAAAAUUACCUUAGGGAUAACAGCGUUAUUUUUUUUUUUAGUUCAAAUAAGAAAAAAAGUUUGCGACCUCGAUGUUGGAUUAAGAUAAAAUUUAAAUGCAGAAGUUUAAAAUUUUGAUCUGUUCGAUCAUUAAAAUCUUACAUGAUCUGAGUUCAAACCGGUGUAAGCCAGGUUGGUUUCUAUCUUUUAAAUAAUUUAAUAUUUUAGUACGAAAGGAUUAAAUAUUAUAAUUAAAUUAAGUUAAAUUGAAUUUUAUUAAAUAAUA